Molecule: long non-coding RNA, 341 nt
Organism: Bombina bombina (fire-bellied toad)
Lineage: Eukaryota; Metazoa; Chordata; Amphibia; Anura; Bombinatoridae
Exons: 2
Source: RefSeq, a predicted model, not a curated record
GUGAGAGAGGUUAUGCAGAACAGCCAUGGAGAAAGUCACCUAUACCAUCCUAUACUCCUCCUGUUGCACGCACUUCUGAUGAACCAAUGGAGAUUGCCUUUACUAAAGGUCCUUUGACUACAGAAGAAAAGAACAGAAGAAAGGCCAAUAAUUUGUGCUUAUACUGUGCUUCCAAGGCACAUACAGUAAAGGACUGUCCUAUUCUCCAGAAACAAAAGGUGGGAGGGACAAAGAAUCCAGACACAGGCCAUUAUUGACUCCGGAACCACGGGCAAUUUCAUUGAUAAAACUUUUCUUGAUAAAUAUCACAUUCCAUUAAUAAAACGUAUUGAUUCACUAGC